Molecule: transfer RNA, 84 nt
Filed under: Candidatus Woesearchaeota archaeon
Lineage: Archaea; Nanobdellati; Candidatus Woesearchaeota
Description: tRNA-Leu
Rfam family: tRNA
About the family: Transfer RNA (tRNA) molecules are approximately 80 nucleotides in length. Their secondary structure includes four short double-helical elements and three loops (D, anti-codon, and T loops).
Source: RNAcentral
GCGGGAGUGCCGGAGUGGCCAAACGGGUAUGGCUUAGGACCAUAUGGCUUAGUGCCUUCACAGGUUCGAAUCCUGUCUCCCGCA